UACGUAGGUGGCAAGCGUUAUCCGGAAUUACUGGGCGUAAAGCGCACGCAGGUGGCUGCUUAAGUCUGACGUGAAAGCUCCUGGCUUUAACUGGGAGAGGUCGUUGGAGACUGGGCGGCUUGAGGCGAGGAGAGGGGUGUAGAAUUCCCGGUGUAGUGGUGGAAUGCGUAGAGAUCGGGGAGGAAUACCAGUGGCGCAAGCGGCACCCU
RNAcentral lists this ribosomal RNA (209 nucleotides) under uncultured bacterium. Its description in RNAcentral is "partial 16S ribosomal RNA". It matches the Rfam family "Bacterial small subunit ribosomal RNA", at positions 524 to 730 of the family's 1533-position model. The record is from RNAcentral.